UACGUAGGGUGCAAGCGUUGUCCGGAAUUAUUGGGCGUAAAGAGCUCGUAGGCGGUCUGUCGCGUCGGCUGUGAAAACCCGGGGCUCAACUCCGGGCCUGCAGUCGAUACGGGCAGACUAGAGUGUGGUAGGGGAGACUGGAAUUCCUGGUGUAGCGGUGAAAUGCGCAGAUAUCAGGAGGAACACCGGUGGCGAAGGCGGUUCUCUGGGAAUGACCUGACGCUGAGGAGCGAAAGUGUGGGGAGCGAACAGG
This 253-nucleotide ribosomal RNA is filed under the name uncultured bacterium. RNAcentral's name for it is "partial 16S ribosomal RNA". It matches the Rfam family "Bacterial small subunit ribosomal RNA", at positions 524 to 776 of the family's 1533-position model. The record is from RNAcentral.